AAACAGGAAGGGCCCCCUUUUCCCCUCUGCUCCUGCUCUAGCUGCAGAAUGUGAUCCACCAGCAAGGAGGGACGCCAAUAAGGCGUCCGAGUGGGAAAUUAAAGACCUACGUAGAAAAGUUUUCUGAAUUGAUUCUGAAAACAAUAUUGAGACUUCUUCAAUCAACAGGAAUAGACCCAGCAGAAAUUGUGGUACCUUUUACCAAUGCUGAAAUUGCAUCAUUAUGGGCAGAAAAUGAACAUUGGCAAAGAGCUUGCAGAGAUUUGGGGGGAGAGAGUAGCAACAAAUAUCCCAAAAACAAGAGACUUCAGUUUAUAAAAAGGACUAAUUGAUUCCUUCCUCGCAUAGUAUGAGGAACACCAAUUUCUAGAGCUCCUACAUUCUAUACUGAUGUGAAUAAAUCAGCAAAGGCAGG
RNAcentral lists this long non-coding RNA (415 nucleotides) under Cricetulus griseus (Chinese hamster). RNAcentral describes it as "lncRNA (ENSCGRG00015034567.1)". The record is from RNAcentral. Lineage: Eukaryota; Metazoa; Chordata; Mammalia; Rodentia; Cricetidae.